AGACUUUGAUUAUGGCUCAGAUUGAACGCUGGCGGCAGGCCUAACACAUGCAAGUCGAGCGGUAGCACAGAGAAGCUUGCUUCUUGGGUGACGAGCGGCGGACGGGUGAGUAACGCGUGGGAAUCUACCUGGUAGUGGGGGACAACAGUCGGAAACGACUGCUAAUACCGCACACGCCCUUCGGGGGAAAGUGGGGGAUCUUCGGACCUCACGCUAUCAGAUGAGCCCGCGUCGGAUUAGCUUGUUGGUGAGGUAAAGGCUCACCAAGGCGAUGAUCCGUAGCUGGUCUGAGAGGAUGACCAGCCACACUGGGACUGAGACACGGCCCAGACUCCUACGGGAGGCAGCAGUGGGGAAUAUUGGACAAUGGGGGAAACCCUGAUCCAGCAAUGCCGCGUGAGUGAAGAAGGCCUUAGGGUUGUAAAGCUCUUUCAGCUGUGAGGAAAGGCGAGUGGUUAAUACCCGCUUGCUGUGACGUUAACAGCAGAAGAAGGACCGGCUAACUCCGUGCCAGCAGCCGCGGUAAUACGGAGGGUCCGAGCGUUAAUCGGAAUUACUGGGCGUAAAGCGCGCGUAGGUGGUUCAGUCAGUCAGAUGUGAAAGCCCCGGGCUCAACCUGGGAACUGCACCUGAUACUGCUGAGCUAGAGUACGGUA
Molecule: ribosomal RNA, 656 nt
Filed under: uncultured bacterium
Lineage: Bacteria
Description: bacterial SSU rRNA
Rfam family: Bacterial small subunit ribosomal RNA
Source: RNAcentral